RNAcentral lists this long non-coding RNA (1846 nucleotides) under Theobroma cacao (cacao). RNAcentral describes it as "long non-coding RNA (TCAC_LNC001685)". Lineage: Eukaryota; Viridiplantae; Streptophyta; Magnoliopsida; Malvales; Malvaceae. The record is from RNAcentral.
AAAAGCGAAAUAAAUUCAUACAUACUAUAAUACAGAUAGUCAAGGUAUGUAAUUUAAUUUACAAUGACAUGUGGGCCCCCAAAUGACAAAAGUGAACGAAGGCUGUGAACCUAUAAUUUUUGAGGAAGUAAAGCCAACUGUAGCCUUCGACUAUAUAAGCUAUCUACAAACUAUCCUGAGCCUGAAAUGGGUGGAAAGGAGGGUGAUGAGAUUAUAUAAUCUCAGUGAGUAAACAAAUAUCAUCUAAAAUAUCUAAAACCGAGUAAAUGGAGACAAUUAAAAUAGAUCAUCAUAAAAUGGUUCAUAACAUCAAAACACAUUUGAAAUCAUCUAAGCCAGUUACAUUUCAUCCAAAAUAUACAAUGAGGCUUAUGAAUCUCUUAAAAACUUGGCUCGUGCCAAAACUCAUUCUUGAGGAUACCUUGGCCGAGGCAUCUAACCGAGUUCACCAGGGCUGUUAAAAGGUCAUAUGCUCACAAAACACAUUUUUACGUUUAAAAGCAUAGCCGUUCCUUGGCGUUGGCUGAAUUCACUCUCACGUGGUGGUUCGAUGUGAAGUGAACUCUAAAAUUUACCUCAGGAGUUACCCUAUGCGCCUCUCGUACCGAGGUAAAAUAUAAUGGGGUUUAUCGUGCCCCUCUAAUAGGCUAGUCCACAGAAACCCACCCACUGCAGUAAGCUAAUCGAUAUCCCACCAAAUCAAUAAAAAUUCAAUAGCAUGAUAUGGCAAUUUUAUCAUUAUCCAGCCUAUCAAGGCAAACAACAAUUUAUACAUUUUCAACACAAAUACCCAUCCAGCCAUUCAUGCCCACAUUAUCAUAAGCCAUUCAAUUCAAAACAUAAUUUACAAUAUAGCAAGUAGUCUCCAAUUACUCCAUUUCCAAGUCAUCAUUAAAUUUCACAACAAUUUAUAGAAUCAUUUAAUUUAAACACAUUUUCCAUAAAAUUACAAAAUCGGAUAAAAACAUACUUUAGAUAAUUAAGACGAUAAUAAGGUUACUUACAAUAUCGGGAGUCAAAGUACUCCAAGUCCCAGUCUUCGGGUAUAACUUCUUUGCCUUUACAGGAGGAUUCACCACUUAGACAUAAUGCAUAAUUAAGCAAUUUACCACAUUUGUGCUAAACCGUUAUAAAACUAAUCUAGGCUCUAUAUGAAUGCAUGAAAUGGAAUGCGAAUUGUUCGGAUCAUCGUCUAAACACGGUGUUCUACAUAAAUUCAAUUGUGUACUUAAAUAAAACAAUAUUGGCCUAAUUCGAUCUAUCACCCGAUUAAUUGGUCAAUAUGUCCAAUUUAACUCCAAAUAACUCCAUUUCUCUCCCAAUACUCCAAAUCAUUAAACACAAUUUAAAUAACUUGAAAUGUGACAAAAUCACCCUCACAUUUUCUCUUGAAAAAUUAGGCCAUGGUGAGUGCUCUAACAAUAUAAUUUUUCUCGCUUGAUUCUCACACCAUAAAUCAUUCAUUCCUAAUCAAAUCACUUGAAAUUCAAUCAAAUUCAUCAUCAAUAUUCCACAUGGAAUAUUUGGCCAAUGAAGAAUCUGUGAAGAAUAUGUGAUUUUUCUUACUUGUUUUCCUUCCAAACAUGAUAAAUCAACUAAAAACACUAAAAUAUCUCAAAAUCUAACCAAAUAAAUCAUCAAAUCUUCUCCCUCUAAAUUCGGUCAGCCAUGAAUCCUUCAUGAUAUCUUGUGAUUCAACCAUGGAAAAUGUACAAGAAUGCAUAGGAAAGAUAGAUCACAAGCUAGAGUUAAGAAAUUUUACCUUUGAUGUCUUGAUUCCUUGAAAUCUAGUGAUUUUCCCUUGAAUUUCUUAGCUAGGGUUUUGUUCUUCUUCUUUUCUUCCCUU